Molecule: ribosomal RNA, 433 nt
Filed under: uncultured bacterium
Lineage: Bacteria
Description: partial 16S ribosomal RNA
Rfam family: Bacterial small subunit ribosomal RNA
Source: RNAcentral
AACGAACGCUGGCGGCAUGCCUAACACAUGCAAGUCGAACGAGACCUUCGGGUCUAGUGUCGCACGGGUUCGUAACGCGUGGGAACCUUCCCUUAGGUUCGGAAUAACUCCCCGAAAGGGGUGCUAAUACCGGAUAAUGUCUUCGGACCAAAGAUUUAUCGCCUUUGGAUGGUCCCGCGUUGGAUUAGCUAGUUGGUAGGGUAAAAGCCUACCAAGGCGACGAUCCAUAGCUGGUCUGUGAGGAUGAUCAGCCACACUGGGACUGAGAAACGGCCCAGACUCCUACGGGAGGCAGCAGUGGGGAAUAUUGGAAAAUGGGCGAAAGCCUGAUCCAGCAAUGCCGCGUGAGUGAUGAAGGCAUUAGGGUUGUAAAGCUCUUUUAACCGGGAUGAUAAUGACAGUACCGGGAGAAUAAGCUCCGGCUAACUCCGUG